This 207-nucleotide long non-coding RNA is filed under the name Setaria italica (foxtail millet). Its description in RNAcentral is "long non-coding RNA (SITA_LNC002274)". Lineage: Eukaryota; Viridiplantae; Streptophyta; Magnoliopsida; Poales; Poaceae. The record is from RNAcentral.
CCAAGUGCUGCAGGCGCAACACCUCCAAGGUAUCCACACGUGUAGGGAGGAAGCGUCGCAAGCCGGACUGCUAGAUCCGUGAGUUGCAACAGGCGAGGGCGUGGGAGGCACGGCAGAUGUGUUUUGCCAAAAGGUGUAAACCCUAGGGCGUUCCACCCCUCUAUUUAUAGAGGUUCCUAACGGGCCUCUGGGUCCGAGGCCCAUUAG